RNAcentral lists this transfer RNA (72 nucleotides) under Ictidomys tridecemlineatus (thirteen-lined ground squirrel). Its description in RNAcentral is "Spermophilus tridecemlineatus (thirteen-lined ground squirrel) tRNA". It matches the Rfam family "tRNA". Rfam says of the family: Transfer RNA (tRNA) molecules are approximately 80 nucleotides in length. Their secondary structure includes four short double-helical elements and three loops (D, anti-codon, and T loops). Further hydrogen bonds mediate the characteristic L-shaped molecular structure. tRNAs have two regions of fundamental functional importance: the anti-codon, which is responsible for specific mRNA codon recognition, and the 3' end, to which the tRNAs corresponding amino acid is attached (by aminoacyl-tRNA synthetases). tRNAs cope with the degeneracy of the genetic code in two manners: having more than one tRNA (with a specific anti-codon) for a particular amino acid; and 'wobble' base-pairing, i.e. permitting non-standard base-pairing at the 3rd anti-codon position. Lineage: Eukaryota; Metazoa; Chordata; Mammalia; Rodentia; Sciuridae. The record is from Rfam by way of RNAcentral.
GCUGAUAUAGCUCAGUUGGUAGAGUGUUUGCCUUGGAUACACAAGGCCCUGGGUUCAAUCCCCAGCACCACA